RNAcentral lists this ribosomal RNA (433 nucleotides) under uncultured bacterium. Its description in RNAcentral is "partial 16S ribosomal RNA". It matches the Rfam family "Bacterial small subunit ribosomal RNA", at positions 29 to 507 of the family's 1533-position model. The record is from RNAcentral.
AACGAACGCUGGCGGCAGGCCUAACACAUGCAAGUCGAGCGGACCUUUCGGGGUCAGCGGCGGACGGGUGAGUAACGCGUGGGAAUAUGCCCUUCUCUACGGAUUAGUCCUGGGAAACUGGGGGUAAUACCGUAUACGCCCUUUGGGGGAAAGAUUUAUCGGGGAAGGAUUAGCCCGCGUUGGAUUAGGUAGUUGGUGGGGUAAUGGCCUACCAAGCCGACGAUCCAUAGCUGGUUUGAGAGGAUGAUCAGCCACACUGGGACUGAGACACGGCCCAGACUCCUACGGGAAGCAGCAGUGGGGAAUCUUAGACAAUGGGGGCAACCCUGAUCUAGCCAUGCCGCGUGAGUGAUGAAGGCCUUAGGGUUGUAAAGCUCUUUCAGCUGGGAAGAUAAUGACGGUACCAGCAGAAGAAGCCCCGGCUAACUCCGUG